GUGUUGUAUGACAGGAGAGGAGGUUAGCACUCCCCUUGACAAGGAUGGAAAAAGCCCUAGUCUACUGGCCUUCAACAUGGCAUCUUGAAUGUGGUCCAUUCU
Oncorhynchus keta (chum salmon) is the source of this 102-nucleotide small nuclear RNA. NCBI's taxonomy places the organism in Eukaryota, Metazoa, Chordata, Actinopteri, Salmoniformes, Salmonidae. The record is from RefSeq and is a predicted model, not a curated record.